AGCCCAGCUCGCGCCCCAGCUGAAAGUGGGGAUCAGCGCUGCGCGUGACGGUGGGAGGCGAGGAGACGGACAGUCACCCCCAGAGACACAAGGUCCUUUCCAGGUCACCUGGGGAUGCGUCCGCCGCUCCUAAAUCGAACGCGCCCACGCUUGAGAUGGGGACAGUCCUGGGACCGCCCAGGCAGGGCUGGAUUCCUCGAAAAGUCCCGCCACGCCCCGGCCACCCCCAGCCCCGUGAACCUCACAAAGUGCUGAGUAACGGUGACCAGGAAGUUUCUCGUGAUGAAAAAGGGAGAGGAAGAGAGAAGAGAAAAGAAAAAGGAAAAAGAAAGAGAAACCUUUCCCAUGGAAGCCAGAUCCUAGCCUUGUGUAAGAUGCAACUCUAUUAAAGAAAUCUUACUAACCCCGUGUAAGGCAGAACUGAAAUAAUAGUGAAGAAAACUGAACAUCCGCCUGCUCCAACAUGUAGAGAGACGCUACAGAACGUAAAAUGCCUGCGCUGCCAAAGGGAUUCCGUGUGACAUCUGCCACAUGUGCGCAUGAAAUUCAUUCUCCAUCCUGUUCUCCUCUACAGACAUUUUCACAGCUGCUCUUUCCAGAGGGCCUGUGGCUUAUGCGGAACCUGCAGAUGCAGACGGCCGACUGUACUCGGUUUUCCAUGAAUACUGGGACAAGUUGGAAGGGAAAUGUGUCCUAAAUCAAAAGUUCUUCAGCCUUAAAUGGGAUUGAUUCUAGAAAAGAAAGGAAACCUGCAUUUGUCCCCUUAAGAUCAUUCAUCUUCUCAACCUGGUCCACUUCCAAGAGGAUGGAGAAGAAGCAAGAACCCGGCGAACAGCUUCAAACGUCGGGGACAAAUUUCUUUUUUUUUUUUUUCCUUUUUUUUUUGCAACCCAUUCAGAUUUUUACUGGACAUUCAUGGCAGAAAGAGGCGAUGUGCAUCCAACCGCGUCGCGCAGCCCAUCAGCUGCCCAGUGCCGCUGACGCGUGCAGAAGCAUUCUCUGCAGUGGCCCUUGUGGGCGCCGGGCCCUCACCCGCGCCGAGGCCCUCAUCCACAGCACUGCACCUUCUUUGUAGAAGCAGAACCCCAGACUCAGAGCGCAGCUCACCCUGAUAACUGUGUUCCCAGCGGGCAGGCCCUCUAGAAGAUGGGGGAAAUGACACAUUCCUGUCACUCAGGCCCAGACACAAGCCACAGUCACCCUUCCCAAGGGCAUCCACGGCCUGUGGGACCCGGCUCCAUUCAGCAGAGCCUCAGUGCUUGGGUCAUCUCGACAACCCAGGGUCACAGCCCACAUGGCCCUGCCCAUAGCCCCCCCGCUGUCCACGCACUGCCCGGAGAACCAGCAGCAAAUAGGUGGAAGAACCAUCCAGUGCCUGCUGCCCAGGGCUGCAGCAAGCAAGGAGGAGCCAGGGACCACCACCAGGCAAGUGAGACCCAGUGCCGCUUCCAUGUGGGCAAAGCUGCCGCCACCCUGGCCUGUCCAGGACGGCCGCAGAGGCCCCACUUCGUCCUGCAAAGGAGGGAGCCUGUGGCCCUCCCGGCUUUGCCAGAUGCUCCUGCCCGAGGGCCUGCAUCCUGUAGUUCCCCAGUGAGGUAACCCGGUCUCCCACCAGGUGCCCGGUCGGUGGUAGGGGACAAAUUUCUAACCAGCAGGUACCUACAGGAAAUACAGGAAACCUCGGAAUGUAAUUCUUUUAGGAAAUACAUCUCUCCUAACUGGCCACCAGCACCUUUUCAUUUGCCCUCUUGAAUAGUAAAAGUCAAAUUCCAGAGGCAACUAAUCAAUUUCCCACCCCAUUCCUUAAAAAGGCUCUUGGCCCGGUGUGGUGGCUCAGGCCUGUAAUCCCAGCACUUUGGGAGGCCGAGGCGGGCGGAUCACGAAGUCAGAAGAUCGAGACCAUCCUGGCUAACACGG
Chlorocebus sabaeus (green monkey) is the source of this 1917-nucleotide long non-coding RNA. RefSeq lists it as uncharacterized. The record is from RefSeq and is a predicted model, not a curated record. NCBI's taxonomy places the organism in Eukaryota, Metazoa, Chordata, Mammalia, Primates, Cercopithecidae.